Molecule: transfer RNA, 54 nt
Filed under: Tenuidactylus longipes
Lineage: Eukaryota; Metazoa; Chordata; Lepidosauria; Squamata; Gekkonidae
Description: partial tRNA-Cys
Source: RNAcentral
CCAAAAUGCAAGUUUGGAGAAGUACCCAAGUCGGUGCCGGGGCUUCUCCCGUUU